Non-coding RNA from Pocillopora verrucosa, 5616 nucleotides. NCBI's taxonomy places the organism in Eukaryota, Metazoa, Cnidaria, Anthozoa, Scleractinia, Pocilloporidae. The record is from RefSeq and is a predicted model, not a curated record.
UUCAUAAUUAGUAUCAGUUCUUUCGCGAAUGAAACGUUUCCACAAACGGUUUUUCUGACGAAUAGCUUUGCGCCAUUGUUCAUUCAUAAAGGGAACUUGAUUUCCCCUUAUGCGGACCUGUUUCAAAGGUGCAUGCUCACCAAGAAUGUCUUCGUAUAGACAAUCAAACACGUAGAGCUUAUCGUCAACGUCGUCAAAUAUUUCAGCUACUUGGAAAGGAACAUUAUGCAAAUCAUGUAGAAAAUGCUGUUUAUCAAAAUUUUUAAGGCUUCUGAAUUGUAUUUUCCGAGAUCGUAUUCUCGGUUCCGAUGCCCUGAGCAUGGCAAACACAAGAGAGUGAUCACUUAUAUUAACAUGGACUACGCCCGAUGACUGUAUUUUUCUCAAGUUGUCAGUGAGAAAAAGGUCCAGUAGGGUUUCUGAUGUCUUGGUAAUACGGGUGGCUUCAUGUAUUAAAUUCUUCAAGUCGUAAAUAUCAAGUAGGUUUGCCAUAACUCUACCAUCCCUUGGCGGCUUGUCUGGUAGUAACAUAUCCGAGUUAAAGUCGCCUACGAAAAAGCAGUUACCAGGAAGUAUUGUGAUCGCCUCAAGUAUUGAAGAUAGUUCAAAUUUCCAUAGCGAUUGUGGGAUAGACGCAGAUGUUGGAGGUCUAUAGAAACCGACGAUGGUUUCCCACUUCUUAGCUAUCCUCACCUUCAGCACAAUCGAUUCAGUCUUGUACCGUUCACGCUCACAUAAUCGAAGAUUGGGAAGGUCUUUAAUGACUUUAAAGCAGAGGUCUGCGCGGAUAUAGACCAAUAAACCACCGCCAUGUAUGUUUCUGUCAGCCCUACACAUUCGAUAUCCGGUGACCAUAAAUUGACUAUCUGGAAAACUGGAAUCCAGCUUCGUUUCAGAAAGUACUAAAAUAUCAAACUUUCCUUCUAAUAGCCAAUACUUGACCUCAAAGAAUUUAAAACCUGCAAUAUGGUCCACAUUAACAUGUCCGAUUUUAAUGUUGGUCCAAUGUUUCUUAAUCAAGGCAUCAUAUUCACUCCAUGUUUCAUCGUCGGAACAUGAUCCAGUAGAACUGUUGGUACUUGUGCUGGAGUUCAAACUCGAGUCCGCAAAAGGUAAUUGGCGAAGAGCCUCCAUACAUGACUCGCAAGUGUGCGAUGUACUGCCAGACGACUGCAAAAUUAGAUAUUGCUUAGGGGUCACACCGCCGCAUUUAAUGUGAGACCACAACGAGCAGCAGUCGCAUAUGGUUGCACGGUGAUUUCUAGCAAUCGUCCGAUCACACUCCUUGCAUUUUUUACGAGAACUGUCAUGGCGGACGGCUGAUUUACAAGUCGAGUUACAUUGUCUGUGAGGUCCUGGAUGAGGAUGAAUGUCUCCACUUCUAACCACAGAAAGAGCAACCGGGUUGAAGGAAGCUGUACAGUUCGAAUAGUACGCCACUCUUGACUUCUGAAACUUCUUGUGAGGUGAGGUGACAAAAUGGCCGCCGAUCCGUGACAUAUGCCUUGGCGAAAUUAGAUUGAAAUCGACCGAGUAUGAGUUGAAAUACUUGAAAAAUUUAUCCCCGUAAUGCACUUGAACAUUCUUCGAGAGCUUGAGAGAGUAUAAGUUGACAGAGAACAAAGCUAACAGCGAAAAACUUAAUAAAAUUACGGACAAGCUCGAAACACGUCUGACCGCCAUAACCACCGCUGACGCUCAUAAGUAACCGAGUAACGGUACGGAAAGAGCCUUGCGGAAAGUGAUGAAUGAUGUUCUUCUUAACAUGAACUCUCAGCAAGUCUCACUUAAGGUGUUCCCAAAGAAGUUCAGAGAGGACUCAGUGAACAGAGUUUUACUACACCAACCCCUAUACAGACUCUCUCCCUUCCACCUGCAAUAUUCCACUACAGGGACAUCAUUGGUGCAGCAGAAACAGCAUUCUAUAUCUUCCUAUAGUUGGUUGAUGGAACAUUAUUUAUACAAAAAUGUGCAUUACAAUAAGAUUGUCAAGAUAAGUCCCUUCAGGUUGGUUCAGGUAAAACACAAGCCUUUGGGAUUCUAAUUCUCACCCACAUCCUUGGCCACAAGUCCAGUCAAGAAGCAGGUGAAACUACAAAAAAUACUACCAAAAAUAAUGCUACAAAAGCCACAGAAACUGGUAAUGGAACAUCCAAGCUCAAGAAACCACUCCUGGCAUUGAUAAUGACACCAACCAGAGAAUUGGCUAUACAAAUAAAAAAUCAUCUUAAACAGGCUGCAAAACACACAUCCUUAGAGAUUGUUGCUGUGGUUGGAGGAAUGGCACCUCAAGAACAACAGAGGCUUUUAAACAAGUAUCCUGAGGUAAUAGUAGCCACCCCGGGAAUACUGUGGGAUUUGAUUUCCGAGGGUGAAGAGCAUGUCUGCCGUUUGGAGCACUUGAGAUAUCUUGUGAUUGACGAGGCAAACAGAAUGGUGGAGCAAGGCCACUUUCAAGAAUUAUCUUCAAUAUUGGAGCUCAUUCAUAGAAAGAGUGAUUAUGAUGAAGAUGAGGGAACUGCAAAGCGAAGACAUCUACAGAAGUUUAUUUUCUCUGCAACUUUAACUCUUCCAAAGUCGUUUAAGAGGAAAGGAAAAGAAAAGAAGAUCACAAGUGAAGAAGGCUUUGUGUCACUGAUGGACAAAGUUGGGCUGCAGAAGAACAGUUGUAAAAUUAUCGAUGUCACCAACAAGAGAGGAACCGUAGAAACCCUGACAGAAGCAAAGAUCUCAUGUGUAAUUGAAGAGAAGCAAAGUGCGAGUGGCUUACUUCUGGCUACAGAUGUGGCCGCGAGAGGUUUGGACAUACCAGCUGUUGAGCAUGUGAUUCACUAUCAAGUUCCGAAGGACCUUGAUCUUUACAUUCACCGCAGUAGACGGACAGCUAGAGCAAGCAGGGAGGGUCUGAGUGUCGUUCUUGUUGGCCCAGAAGAAAUGGGAUCAUACAAGAAAAUUAUGAAGGCGCUUAAUGGAGGUGGAUAGUUCAGGCGAUGAAGAACCCACUUCGAGAUUCUGCUGCAAGUACAAAAAGGAGAACAAGCGUGUUCGGCAUGAUGACAACUGUGACAAGACUACAGGCAAAAUACCUCAUGAGAAAACCGCUGUGGUUUAGAAAGUAAACUUGACGCUCAUUGAUUCGCCAGUCAAAAGGGUGUGUGUGGAUAUUGAGACGAGCGACAGCGAUGAGUGCCUUUUCAAACCAGUCUUUGCAUCAGAAAAAAAUGUGGCUGAAAAGGUAAAUAAGAAAGUGCUGACACACCAGUUGAACGACUCCAGCGGUAGCAGUGAAGACGAACAAGGAACUGAUUACUUGAACGACGACCCAAUGUUUCCCAUCUACCGACAGGGAUUGCUUACGGGUUUGGCUUCCAGGAAAGUGGUAGAUAUCCUCUUCCAUCCGCCUCGAGAACUUAUUGCACGUGCUGUUCCUUCCGCUGUCUCCGAAAAUUCUGUCUUUGUGGUGGAAAUAUCUGCCCCACACAUAAAGCACUUUAAAAAUGUUCUGGCGACGACCUUGGUGCAUGGAAUCCAACUGGAACGAAACAGCGAUGUAUUAUAGUAUCAUAUACUAUAUAGUAUAUAGUAUGAUACUACCGUGCUUCCAACAAGAGGAAUCCUGUUCGUAAGCCUUCCCAAUCAGAAUAUGAUGAUCAUGAGGCACAGGUCUAUAAAUGUACGAGAAGCUUCUACAGGAAUGAAUCCUCCCCCGAUUUGCAAAGGAUUUUCAUUUAUCUGACAGAUUCCAACGGAACGAUUCACAGUUUUGCUCUUUUGCAAUAUGUUUUUGAUGAUAAUGAACACGAAGUUAAAGUUAAACCACAUGGAAAUUCUAAAAGUCUUUCCAAAGAGUAUUACCGCACUUCGCAUACUACCAUGGAGCGGUUAAAAGAGCUCGCGAAAUCUGACCCUCCCAAGACGGUGUUUUUCAAGAGUAUCGAAGAAAAGGGAACAAUUUUAAACUUUAUAAACGCAGCUAGCCAUGCCAGAAAUUUACAACAGAUAAAGAACAUUAAAAAAACCAUGGAAGAGCAACCUGGGGAUUCUACACUCGAGCUGAUAGACAUGCGAAGCAAGGAAACAGAGACAAAGAGAACGCCUUCGUCCGUAAAGUAGAGACCUCGUCAGAUCCUUGUGUUGUCCUAACCACUGACCAGCAACUUAAGGACGUGGAAAGAUUUUGCACAAAUCCUAGCCAGUUCAGUAUUUUAGGAGUCGAUCCCAUUUUCAAUUUUUGGAGACUAUUAUGUGACUCUUACUACAUACAGGCAUCUCCUUCUCCGAACCAAAGAAGACAAGAAUCCAGUCCGGAUUGGACCAACCCUAGUUCACCACAAAAAAGAACCAUCCAGAUAUUACGAGCUCUCGUCUACCAUGAUAAAGCUAAAUGCAAAAACCCAAAAUGUUCUAGUAUAUGGUACUGACGGAGAAAAGGCAUUGGGUGAGGGUUUCGGUAGACCUCUCCCUUAUGCCCAGCAUUUACUCUGUGACCUGCAUAUGAAAGAAAACAUAGUGUCAAAAAUGAACGAACUUGGAAUACGGGGCAAACCAUCAGAAGUCAUUCUAAGUGACAUCUUCGGAGGAGAUAUUGGUUGUAAGAGGGUUCCUGGUCUUAUAGACUCGGAAAGCCACGCCCAGUUCGUGACCAAUCUGGAAAAAAUGAAGGAGGAGUGGCUUUCCUUACACCCACUCUCAGAGCGCUUUAUUACUUACUUUUGUAAGUACAAAGCGGAAAUUAUAAGGCAAACGAUGACAGCUGAAUUGAGAUCCAUGGCUGGUCUAGGCUGGCCACCAGGUGUAUACGAUCAGAACGGAAAUGAAUGUAUGAACUCGGUUCUACAAAGAGAGAAACAACUUACAAGGAAAAGGAAGCUUUCUAUUCCCGAAUUUGCCAGGUUGCUGCAGACGGUGGUGAAAAGACAGAACAGAAGAGGAUUUAGCAUUUAUUGGCUCGGAGAGCUAAAAAUGGACAAAAAUUACGAGGAAGAGGGAAUGAAGGAAUCUGUCUUUUACAGGAAGGCGAGAGCGCAACAAGAAGCGGCGCUCAAAAAAUUUCACAAUCUCUCAGUAAAGACAGUUGACAUAAUUCCUAUCGACCUGGAAAACACAAAUGAAGCGGACACAAUGUCACCAUUGAGUUUGCCUCUAGAAGAUUUUGGCAUUAUCCGGGUUCCCUUCAGUAUUCUAGCACGUAUGUACCAUCGUGCAUCGUUGAUUUUGGCGCGCAAAGAAGAAAAUAUUCAUCCCGAUCCUGGAAGAGGGGACAAUUUGCCACGUUAUGUGGCAAACGAGGCAAUUGAUGCUCCAUCGUAUGCAGUUUGCAAGAAACGUACCGUGCGACGUGGAACAUAUUAUGUGUGCAGCGGCACUUGUAUCGAUUUUAAAGCGUAUGACAUUUGUGCUCAUACUUUAGCUGUGGCUGAAAUGGGUCGUUCAUUGACUGAGUUCGUUCAUUGUUACAAGACAACGAACCAAAGGCCUCCUAACGUGGAUGCCUUGAUUCACAUGGACCUCCCUCCUGGACGUGGGUCAAAAAAGACCAAGGCAACACAAAGAAGGAAAGGUGCUACAAAUAAAAAAAGAGAGGAAGUUGUGGAGAGUUACACUAACACCUCUCCA